This 389-nucleotide ribosomal RNA is filed under the name Chlorella sp. MACC 785. RNAcentral's name for it is "SSU rRNA". It matches the Rfam family "Eukaryotic small subunit ribosomal RNA", at positions 613 to 1015 of the family's 1831-position model. Lineage: Eukaryota; Viridiplantae; Chlorophyta; Trebouxiophyceae; Chlorellales; Chlorellaceae. The record is from RNAcentral.
GUUACUGUUGCAGUUAAAGCUCGUAGUUGGAUUUCGGGUGGGUUCUMGCGGUCCGCCUAUGGUGAGUACUGCUAUGGCCUUCCUUUCUGUCGGGGACGGGCUUCUGGGCUUAAUUGUCCGGGACUCGGAGUCGACGUGGUUACUUUGAGUAAAUUAGAGUGUUCAAAGCAGGCUUACGCCCUGAAUACUUUAGCAUGGAAUAACACGAUAGGACUCUGGCCUAUCUUGUUGGUCUGUAGGACUGGAGUAAUGAUUAAGAGGGACAGUCGGGGGCAUUCGUAUUUCAUUGUCAGAGGUGAAAUUCUUGGAUUUAUGAAAGACGAACUACUGCGAAAGCAUUUGCCAAGGAUGUUUUCAUUAAUCAAGAACGAAAGUUGGGGGCUCGAAGA